This 1023-nucleotide ribosomal RNA is filed under the name Triticum aestivum (bread wheat). Its description in RNAcentral is "partial small subunit ribosomal RNA". The record is from RNAcentral. Lineage: Eukaryota; Viridiplantae; Streptophyta; Magnoliopsida; Poales; Poaceae.
AUGGAGGCGGAGACGGAGGGGACCUUCGAGAGGAACACCAAGCCGAGGCUGGACGACCAUCCGGGGGCGACGGCGGCCAGCCUGCUCACCGACGAUCUCAUCCUGGAGAUCCUCUCCCGUCUCCCCGCCAGAUCCGUCCACCGCUUCAAGUGCGUCUCCGUGCUCUGGCGCGACCUCAUCGCCGCCAACCGCAACAAGCUGCCCCACACCCUCGCCGGCUUCCUCUACAGGACCAUCAGGAACGCUCGCCGCCACCACUUUGCCAGCGUCUCCGGCGGCGCCAUCCCGUUCGACCCUUGCCUUCAGCCUAACAAGUACAAGGACAUGACCCAGGUAGACUCCUGCAAUGGCCUCCUCCUCUACCGCAGCUGUGCCAACAGGGAUGAUUUCCGUCUUGUGGUGUGCAAUCCCGCCACCGGGAGGUGGGUGGAGUUACCCCCAAAGCCACAGGCGCCGGCGAGUACAAGUAGCCGUACCAUAGGCUUGGCUUUCGAUCCGGCGGUAUCGCCCUAUUUCCACGUUCUUUGUUUCGAGCAGACCUUGCAGGAAACUUACAUGACAGGAGUGAACAUCUACUCGUCGCAGACAGGAGCCUGGAGUCUUAGGGACAGUGGGACGGUUGAGAAAGUCACCCUCUUCCUCGGGAGUAGUAAAUGUGUCUCUGUCGGCGGUAUGCUGUACCUGAAUGGGAAGCUGCACAUCCGCGGCGAUUUUGUGCUGGUGGGCGUGGGCAUGGAGGGGAAAGUGUGGACAACCACCCCCUUGCCGUACCCUCGAAUGUUUGGUAUGACUGGAUCGUCUCAAGGGUGCUUACACUAUGCUAUACCUCCUGCCGAUGAUAACAAUAGAAUCCUGUUCUCUAAGAGAGAAAUCUGGUGCCUCAAGGAUCGCAAUAGUAAAGAAUUGGUCUUGAAGCAUACUGCCAACAUUGAUAAGCUUAUGACCGGGCAUAGUUAUAGGGUGGUUGGGAUUCAUCCAGAUUGCGAUACCAUCUUCCUGAUCUCAUAUGAAGAUGAUACCUAG